GGGUUGUGAGGUUAAGCGACUAAGCGUACACGGUGGAUGCCCUGGCAGUCAGAGGCGAUGAAGGACGUGCUAAUCUGCGAUAAGCGUCGGUAAGGUGAUAUGAACCGUUAUAACCGGCGAUUUCCGAAUGGGGAAACCCAGUGUGUUUCGACACACUAUCAUUAACUGAAUCCAUAGGUUAAUGAGGCGAACCGGGGGAACUGAAACAUCUAAGUACCCGAGGAAAAGAAAUCAACCGAGAUUCCCCCAGUAGCGGCGAGCGAACGGGGAGCAGCCCAGAGCCUGAAUCAGUGUGUGUGUUAGUGGAAGCGUCUGGAAAGGCGCGCGAUACAGGGUGACAGCCCCGUACACAAAAAUGCACAUAUUGUGAGCUCGAUGAGUAGGGCGGGACACGUGGUAUCCUGUCUGAAUAUGGGGGGACCAUCCUCCAAGGCUAAAUACUCCUGACUGACCGAUAGUGAACCAGUACCGUGAGGGAAAGGCGAAAAGAACCCCGGCGAGGGGAGUGAAAAAGAACCUGAAACCGUGUACGUACAAGCAGUGGGAGCCUCUUUAUGGGGUGACUGCGUACCUUUUGUAUAAUGGGUCAGCGACUUAUAUUCUGUAGCAAGGUUAACCGAAUAGGGGAGCCGAAGGGAAACCGAGUCUUAACUGGGCGUUAAGUUGCAGGGUAUAGACCCGAAACCCGGUGAUCUAGCCAUGGGCAGGUUGAAGGUUGGGUAACACUAACUGGAGGACCGAACCGACUAAUGUUGAAAAAUUAGCGGAUGACUUGUGGCUGGGGGUGAAAGGCCAAUCAAACCGGGAGAUAGCUGGUUCUCCCCGAAAGCUAUUUAGGUAGCGCCUCGUGAAUUCAUCUCCGGGGGUAGAGCACUGUUUCGGCAAGGGGGUCAUCCCGACUUACCAACCCGAUGCAAACUGCGAAUACCGGAGAAUGUUAUCACGGGAGACACACGGCGGGUGCUAACGUCCGUCGUGAAGAGGGAAACAACCCAGACCGCCAGCUAAGGUCCCAAAGUCAUGGUUAAGUGGGAAACGAUGUGGGAAGGCCCAGACAGCCAGGAUGUUGGCUUAGAAGCAGCCAUCAUUUAAAGAAAGCGUAAUAGCUCACUGGUCGAGUCGGCCUGCGCGGAAGAUGUAACGGGGCUAAACCAUGCACCGAAGCUGCGGCAGCGACGCUUAUGCGUUGUUGGGUAGGGGAGCGUUCUGUAAGCCUGCGAAGGUGUACUGUGAGGUAUGCUGGAGGUAUCAGAAGUGCGAAUGCUGACAUAAGUAACGAUAAAGCGGGUGAAAAGCCCGCUCGCCGGAAGACCAAGGGUUCCUGUCCAACGUUAAUCGGGGCAGGGUGAGUCGACCCCUAAGGCGAGGCCGAAAGGCGUAGUCGAUGGGAAACAGGUUAAUAUUCCUGUACUUGGUGUUACUGCGAAGGGGGGACGGAGAAGGCUAUGUUGGCCGGGCGACGGUUGUCCCGGUUUAAGCGUGUAGGCUGGUUUUCCAGGCAAAUCCGGAAAAUCAAGGCUGAGGCGUGAUGACGAGGCACUACGGUGCUGAAGCAACAAAUGCCCUGCUUCCAGGAAAAGCCUCUAAGCAUCAGGUAACAUCAAAUCGUACCCCAAACCGACACAGGUGGUCAGGUAGAGAAUACCAAGGCGCUUGAGAGAACUCGGGUGAAGGAACUAGGCAAAAUGGUGCCGUAACUUCGGGAGAAGGCACGCUGAUAUGUAGGUGAAGUCCCUCGCGGAUGGAGCUGAAAUCAGUCGAAGAUACCAGCUGGCUGCAACUGUUUAUUAAAAACACAGCACUGUGCAAACACGAAAGUGGACGUAUACGGUGUGACGCCUGCCCGGUGCCGGAAGGUUAAUUGAUGGGGUUAGCGGUAACGCGAAGCUCUUGAUCGAAGCCCCGGUAAACGGCGGCCGUAACUAUAACGGUCCUAAGGUAGCGAAAUUCCUUGUCGGGUAAGUUCCGACCUGCACGAAUGGCGUAAUGAUGGCCAGGCUGUCUCCACCCGAGACUCAGUGAAAUUGAACUCGCUGUGAAGAUGCAGUGUACCCGCGGCAAGACGGAAAGACCCCGUGAACCUUUACUAUAGCUUGACACUGAACAUUGAGCCUUGAUGUGUAGGAUAGGUGGGAGGCUUUGAAGUGUGGACGCCAGUCUGCAUGGAGCCGACCUUGAAAUACCACCCUUUAAUGUUUGAUGUUCUAACGUUGACCCGUGAUCCGGGUUGCGGACAGUGUCUGGUGGGUAGUUUGACUGGGGCGGUCUCCUCCUAAAGAGUAACGGAGGAGCACGAAGGUUGGCUAAUCCUGGUCGGACAUCAGGAGGUUAGUGCAAUGGCAUAAGCCAGCUUGACUGCGAGCGUGACGGCGCGAGCAGGUGCGAAAGCAGGUCAUAGUGAUCCGGUGGUUCUGAAUGGAAGGGCCAUCGCUCAACGGAUAAAAGGUACUCCGGGGAUAACAGGCUGAUACCGCCCAAGAGUUCAUAUCGACGGCGGUGUUUGGCACCUCGAUGUCGGCUCAUCACAUCCUGGGGCUGAAGUAGGUCCCAAGGGUAUGGCUGUUCGCCAUUUAAAGUGGUACGCGAGCUGGGUUUAGAACGUCGUGAGACAGUUCGGUCCCUAUCUGCCGUGGGCGCUGGAGAACUGAGGGGGGCUGCUCCUAGUACGAGAGGACCGGAGUGGACGCAUCACUGGUGUUCGGGUUGUCAUGCCAAUGGCACUGCCCGGUAGCUAAAUGCGGAAGAGAUAAGUGCUGAAAGCAUCUAAGCACGAAACUUGCCCCGAGAUGAGUUCUCCCUGACUCCUUGAGAGUCCUGAAGGAACGUUGAAGACGACGACGUUGAUAGGCCGGGUGUGUAAGCGCAGCGAUGCGUUGAGCUAACCGGUACUAAUGAACCGUGAGGCUUAACCUUACAACGCCGAAG
RNAcentral lists this ribosomal RNA (2925 nucleotides) under Escherichia coli. RNAcentral's name for it is "bacterial LSU rRNA". It matches the Rfam family "Bacterial large subunit ribosomal RNA". The record is from RNAcentral. Lineage: Bacteria; Pseudomonadati; Pseudomonadota; Gammaproteobacteria; Enterobacterales; Enterobacteriaceae.